GUUGUAUGGUUAAGUGACUAAGCGUACACGGUGGAUGCCUUGGCAGUCAGAGGCGAUGAAAGACGUAGUAACUUGCGAUAAGCCCAGAUUAGGUAGUAACAACCAUUUGAGUCUGGGAUUUCUGAAUGGGGAAACCCACUUACAUAAGUAAGUAUCAUUAACUGAAUACAUAGGUUAAUGAGGCGAACCGGGGGAACUGAAACAUCUAAGUACCCCGAGGAAAAGAAAUCAACCGAGAUUCCGAAAGUAGCGGCGAGCGAAAUUGGACUAGCCCUUAAGCUUUACACGCGUUAGACGAACGGUCUGGAAAGUCCGACGAUACAGGGUGAUAGUCCCGUAGUUGACGACGUGUGUUCAGUGAAAUCGAGUAGGGCGGGACACGUGAUAUCCUGUCUGAAUAUGGGGGGACCAUCCUCCAAGGCUAAAUACUACUGACUGACCGAUAGUGAACCAGUACCGUGAGGGAAAGGCGAAAAGAACCCCUGUGAGGGGAGUGAAAUAGAACCUGAAACCGUGUACGUACAAGCAGUAGGAGCACCUUCGUGGUGUGAGGGGAGUGAAAUAGAACCUGAAACCGUGUACGUACAAGCAGUAGGAGCAGGCUUUGUCCUGUGACUGCGUACCUUUUGUAUAAUGGGUCAGCGACUUAUAUUCAGUGGCAAGGUUAACCAUCUAGGGGAGCCGUAGGGAAACCGAGUCUUAACUGGGCGUUCAGUCUCUGGAUAUAGACCCGAAACCAGGUGAUCUAGCCAUGGGCAGGUUGAAGGUUGAGUAACAUCAACUGGAGGACCGAACCGACUAAUGUUGAAAAAUUAGCGGAUGACUUGUGGCUAGGGGUGAAAGGCCAAUCAAACCUGGAGAUAGCUGGUUCUCCCCGAAAGCUAUUUAGGUAGCGCCUCGGACGAAUACUACUGGGGGUAGAGCACUGUUAAGGCUAGGGGGUCAUCCCGACUUACCAACCCUUUGCAAACUCCGAAUACCAGUAAGUACUAUCCGGGAGACACACGGCGGGUGCUAACGUCCGUCGUGGAGAGGGAAACAACCCAGACCGCCAGCUAAGGUCCCAAAUUACUACUAAGUGGGAAACGAUGUGGGAAGGCUCAGACAGCCAGGAUGUUGGCUUAGAAGCAGCCAUCAUUUAAAGAAAGCGUAAUAGCUCACUGGUCGAGUCGGCCUGCGCGGAAGAUGUAACGGGGCUAAGUAGUAAACCGAAGCUGCGGCAAUAUACUUUUGUAUAUUGGGUAGGGGAGCGUUCUGUAAGCGGUUGAAGGUGUGUGGUAACGCAUGCUGGACGUAUCAGAAGUGCGAAUGCUGACAUGAGUAACGAUAAAGGGGGUGAAAAACCUCCUCGCCGGAAGACCAAGGGUUCCUGUCCAACGUUAAUCGGGGCAGGGUAAGUCGACCCCUAAGGCGAGGCCGAAAGGCGUAGUCGAUGGGAAACGGGUUAAUAUUCCCGUACUUCUUACAAUUGCGAUGGGGGGACGGAGAAGGCUAGGUGGGCCUGGCGACGGUUGUCCAGGUUCAAGUGCGUAGGCUUGAGAGUUAGGUAAAUCCGGCUCUCUUUAAGGCUGAGACACGACGUCGAGCAUCUACGGAUGUGAAGUCAUUGAUGCCAUGCUUCCAGGAAAAGCCUCUAAGCUUCAGAUUGUAAGGAAUCGUACCCCAAACCGACACAGGUGGUCGGGUAGAGAAUACCAAGGCGCUUGAGAGAACUCGGGUGAAGGAACUAGGCAAAAUGGUACCGUAACUUCGGGAGAAGGUACGCUCUCGACGGUGAAGUCCCUCGCGGAUGGAGCUAUUGAGAGUCGCAGAUACCAGGUGGCUGCAACUGUUUAUUAAAAACACAGCACUGUGCAAAAUCGUAAGAUGACGUAUACGGUGUGACGCCUGCCCGGUGCCGGAAGGUUAAUUGAUGGGGUUAGACUUCGGUCGAAGCUCUUGAUCGAAGCCCCGGUAAACGGCGGCCGUAACUAUAACGGUCCUAAGGUAGCGAAAUUCCUUGUCGGGUAAGUUCCGACCUGCACGAAUGGCGUAAUGAUGGCCACGCUGUCUCCACCCGAGACUCAGUGAAAUUGAAAUCGCUGUGAAGAUGCAGUGUACCCGCGGCUAGACGGAAAGACCCCGUGAACCUUUACUACAGCUUGGCACUGAACAUUGACCCUACAUGUGUAGGAUAGGUGGGAGGCUUUGAAGCAGGUACGCCAGUAUC
RNAcentral lists this ribosomal RNA (2209 nucleotides) under Vibrio parahaemolyticus. RNAcentral's name for it is "partial 23S ribosomal RNA". It matches the Rfam family "Bacterial large subunit ribosomal RNA", at positions 1 to 2178 of the family's 2925-position model. Lineage: Bacteria; Pseudomonadati; Pseudomonadota; Gammaproteobacteria; Vibrionales; Vibrionaceae. The record is from RNAcentral.